GAUGAAGAACGUAGCGAAAUGCGAUAAGUAAUGUGAAUUGCAGAAUUCAGUGAAUCAUCGAAUGUUUGAACGCAUCUUGCGCUCCUUGGUAUUCCGAGGAGCAUGCCUGUUUGAGUGUCCAUUAAAUUCUCAACCGUACUAGCUUUUGCGAAGUAAGGCUUGGAUGUGGGGGUUACUUUUGCUGGCUUCUAACGAGGUCGGCUCCCCUGAAAUGCAUUAGCGGUGCCCUUGUGGACCCCGACUAUCAGUGUGAUAAUUAUCUACGCUGUUAGGCGCCCACGCUAUAGUGUGCUGCUUCUAACCGUCCGGUUUCUGGACAACACAAAUGACAUUUUUGACCUCAAAUCAGGUAGGACUACCCGCUGAACUUAAGCAUAUCAAUAAGCGGAGGA
This 392-nucleotide unclassified non-coding RNA is filed under the name soil metagenome. RNAcentral describes it as "partial contains 5.8S ribosomal RNA, internal transcribed spacer 2, and large subunit ribosomal RNA". The stretch from base 1 to 120 matches the Rfam family "5.8S ribosomal RNA", at positions 35 to 154 of the family's 154-position model. The record is from RNAcentral.